GGGGGUGGGGCCCGACCGGGAGGAGGGCGCUCGCGUGGAAAGCGAGUGGGCAAGGGAGAGUUGGCUUCGUGGGUUGGAAUCCCCCCCUCCCCGCCA
RNAcentral lists this transfer RNA (96 nucleotides) under Candidatus Caldatribacterium saccharofermentans. RNAcentral's name for it is "tRNA-Ser". The record is from RNAcentral. Lineage: Bacteria; Pseudomonadati; Atribacterota; Atribacteria; Atribacterales; Candidatus Caldatribacteriaceae.